GGUUGUAGCUCAGUGGUAGAGCACUUGCCUGGCAUGUGUGAGGCACUGGGUUCAAUCCUCAGCACCA
RNAcentral lists this transfer RNA (67 nucleotides) under Ictidomys tridecemlineatus (thirteen-lined ground squirrel). RNAcentral describes it as "Spermophilus tridecemlineatus (thirteen-lined ground squirrel) tRNA". It matches the Rfam family "tRNA". Rfam says of the family: Transfer RNA (tRNA) molecules are approximately 80 nucleotides in length. The record is from Rfam by way of RNAcentral. Lineage: Eukaryota; Metazoa; Chordata; Mammalia; Rodentia; Sciuridae.